UACGUAGGGUGCGAGCGUUGUUCGGAUUUACUGGGCGUAAAGCGUGCGCAGGCGGCCCGUUAAGACAGGUGUGAAAUCCCUGGGCUCAACCUAGGAAUUGCGCUUGUGACUGGCGGGCUCGAGUACGGUAGAGGGGGGUGGAAUUCCUGGUGUAGCAGUGAAAUGCGUAGAGAUCAGGAGGAACACCGAUGGCGAAGGCAGCCCCCUGGGCCUGUACUGACGCUCAUGCACGAAAGCGUGGGGAGCAAACAGG
This 253-nucleotide ribosomal RNA is filed under the name uncultured microorganism. RNAcentral's name for it is "partial 16S ribosomal RNA". It matches the Rfam family "Bacterial small subunit ribosomal RNA", at positions 524 to 776 of the family's 1533-position model. The record is from RNAcentral.